Long non-coding RNA from Carassius gibelio (silver crucian carp), 3502 nucleotides. RefSeq lists it as uncharacterized. The record is from RefSeq and is a predicted model, not a curated record. The transcript has 2 exons. Lineage: Eukaryota; Metazoa; Chordata; Actinopteri; Cypriniformes; Cyprinidae.
UAUAUGAUACUUGAUUACUUCAGUCAGCUCGUCUUGGCUACUGCAAUUUUCCCUACUGUAUAUUUACAAUAAAACGAAAUAUGAUAAUCAAAUACCACUGCCUCCUUUCGUUUUCAUUUAAGCAUAAUAACAACUGCAGAAAUGUACUUAGUUCAGGGAAAUGUGUAUAUGCAGCCAUUACAAUGAAACGAAAUAUUAUAUAAAUUUGCCUUUUUUAUUUUAAUUUUAACAUAUAGAUAAAUUGAAUACAGACCAAAGAAAACCUGUUAGAUUUACCCCGCAGCUGAAUUAUAUUUUAUGUUUAACCACUAAAGACACAUCAGAGCCAGCGGCGCAUAUCAGAAGGUCUAUCCCAGGAGAGGCUGCUCUCUGCGGAUACAUGAGGACUGAGCUCCCGCUGAUCGAGUGGAGCUCAUCGUCUACGAGAUCGGCGAAACACAUUUUUAAAUAGGCGCUGUCUUUAUAAAUAAACAACAGAUUUGAGUUUCAAACAACUACAUUCUCGCCUGAAAUACUUUUAAAAUUACAUUUCAUGACACAAUAACAGUAAUAUUUUGAAAAUGUUGAUCCGAAUAAAUGGUGGUUGAACUCAACCAAUGCUGCGUGAACUCAACCAAUCAGCAUGUUUAGCGCCAAAGUCCCGCCCCCGAAAGUUCCGGAACUUUAAAAAAGUACCACCUCGCCAGCAGGGACUUUCUGGGGGGCAUUUUUUUACCCGGAACUUUUAUUUAGUUCCUGGUUCCUGCGGUGGAAACACACCAAGUACCGGACCAAGUCCCUAGUUCCUGGGUAAAGUUCCUGCGGUGGAAACGCGGCUUGAGUCUGGAGUAGAAACAUCCAGAGCCACCGUGCACAGGCGUGUGCAGGAAAUGGGCUACAGAGAAGCAGCCCUGGACUGUUGAUCAGUGGUCCAAAGUACUUUUUUCGGAUGAAAGCAAAUUUUGCAUGUCAUUCGGAAAUCAAGGUGCCAGAGUCUGGAGGAAGACUGGGGAGAAGGAAAUGCCAAAAUGCCUGAAGUCCAGUGUCAAGUACCCACAGUCAGUGAUGGUCUGGGGUGCCAUGUCAGCUGCUGGUGUUGGUCCACUGUGUUUUAUCAAGGGCAGGGUCAAUGCAGCUAGCUAUCAGGAGAUUUUGGAGGCCUUCAUGCUUCCAUCUGCUGAAAAGCUUUAUGGAGAUGAAGAUUUCGUUUUUCAGCACGACCUGGCACCUGCUCACAGUGCCAAAACCACUGGUAAAUGGUUUACUGACCAUGGUAUUACUGUGCUCAAUUGGCCUGCCAACUCUCCUGACCUGAACCCCAUAGAGAAUCUGUGGGAUAUUGUGAAGAGAAAGCUGAGAGACACAAGACCCAACACUCUGGAUGAGUUUAAGGCCGCUAUCGAAGCAUCCUGGGCCUCCAUAACACCUCAGCAGUGCCACAGGCUGAUUGCCUCCAUGCCACGCCGCAUUGAAGAAGUCAUUUCUGCAAAAGGAUUCCCGACCAAGUAUUGAGUGCAUAACUGAACAUAAUUAUUUGAAGGUUGACUUUUUUUGUAUUAAAUAUGUCGGAUGAAAUAUGCUAAUUUUUUGAGAUAGGAAUUUUGGGUUUUCAUGAGCUGUAUGCCAAAAUCAUCAGUAUUAAAACAAUAAAAGACCUGAAAUAUUUCAGUUGGUGUGCAAUGAAUCUAAAAUAUAUGAAAGUUUAAUUUUUAUCAUUACAUUAUGGAAAAUAAUGAACUUUUUCACAGUAUGCUAAUUUUUUGAGAAGGACCUGUAUGUGUGAUUUUAUAACAAGACUGCCUUUUUCGAAAACCAAAUUAGCUCCUACUCCGGAGCAGGGUAUAACCAGCACAACUGGUGCUAUCCGUGAUGCAAGUAGACAUUGAUUGGCCAGACGUGUUCAAAAACGCCCUCACCAGCCAUGAUUUAAACAAUAGUUGUGUCAACUUAUUUUGCCAGUAUAAUGAACAGCAAUAAAUGUAUGGAUGCAAGCACUUUUGUAGCAAAUGUAGCACUCCCAGUUGUCCUUGUAGAUUCUUAGUCCUCCGUUCUGUUUUUUCAAUCGCUUUAUGUAUACGUCAACAUUCCAUGUCUAUAAUUGUGAAACCCGCAAGACACAACAGAAACACAGCUCCAAUCACAGCAUCCUCCUGUUGUUAGCGUUGUUCUUCUUUUUUAACGUUGUUGAAUGCCGUGCACAAAUGACAUCUCUGUCAAGCGGCUUAUGUCAUGUAAUGUCAACUCUUUAAAUUGUACUGGGAAAAACUGUUAGUGCAAAAUCAUCCCAGUAUUUUAGUGCUGUACAUUUAGGCCCCGUCCACACGGAGACGCGUUUCUGUGAAUACGCACAAAUUUUUUAUCAGAUAGGCGUUUCGUCCACACGGAUCCGGCGUUUUCGCAAGGUGAAACUGCUAUUUUUUUAAACCGGGUCCCAAACUGGAUAAGUUUGAAAACGCUGUCUUUGUGUUUCGUCUGGACGGCUAAUCCGUAUAUUUUCUGAAACGAUGACGUCAUCAGCCCACGUCUCCCCCCUAGUCAGACACCUCUACGUCAUGUAACAGCAACAAAAACAUGACAAAUACUGAACGAUUGUCUUUUUAUUAAAUAACAUUAACACUGAUUAAUAAAUGUAUUGUUCCAUGUUCGUUUGUGUACCACGCGCAAUGUUUUUGAGCAUAGUCCAAGUCUUCUUCUCUGUUUUUAGUGUAUCUCUGUGGCAGAAUUACAGCGCCACAUACAGUUCUGGCAUGUAUACUACAUCAUUUUGCGGUUUCGUGUGGACGCGGAUAUUUCUUGAGAUGAGGAAAAAAAAGAUCGGAUUGGGGUAAGCUCCGUCUCCGUGUGGACGGGGCCUUAGUUCAGGAAAUAAAGAAGUGCGAAAGGCCCUAAUGCAAACGACUGCAGACUUCACACUCCUCUCUAAUGCUUUCUUUGUUAAGCAAGCGAUAAUGAGCGACCUUUUGCAGAAGCAAUUAAUUUCAUAGCAUUAGUGUAAAUGGUGAGAUUUAUGAGAGAAAAUAGCCAGAUGGCUAAUACAAAGUUGUACCGGGAGGAUGUGUUGCAAAUGUUGUUCGCCGAUUCUGACUCUGAAGGGGAAUAUUUGCCCUUUGAAAAUGACAAUCGGCCACGGUACAUCUUUGCAGCGCAAUGGUGCCGCCGUGCAAGGCGAGAGUUUUCACGAAGCACAAACAAGUGAUCAUUUCGACCCUUUGCUCAACAGGGAUGUGGGUGGCAGAGGUUAACGUGGUCAUAGUGUCCAUAGGAGAGCUGUUGCUGAUCACGCACGCUCUAAUGCGCGGCCGGCAGACAGUACAGGUGCAGUCUGUGUGGAGUAGGUGCACUCUGUGCUGCGUCAUGCAAUGAAUGAGAAGAACCAUAUUCUCAAGAACUACGAACUGUGUCAUAUAGAUACCUUAUUGGGCAAAUAGCUGGUCAACUGAUCAAAAAAUAGGCACAUGUAUUUUACUAUGGCACAGUAAUAUAGUAAUAAUGUACUACUUUUCUUGUUUUCUUUUUUUUUUCU